GAUGAAGAACGUAGCGAAAUGCGAUACGUAAUGUGAAUUGCAGAAUUCAGUGAAUCAUCGAGUCUUUGAACGCACAUUGCGCCCCCUGGUAUUCCGGGGGGCAUGCCUGUCCGAGCGUCAUUGCUGCCCUCAAGCACGGCUUGUGUGUUGGGCCUCCGUCCUCCUCCCGGGGGACGGGCCCGAAAGGCAGCGGCGGCACCGCGUCCGGUCCUCGAGCGUAUGGGGCUUCGUCACCCGCUCUUGUAGGCCCGGCCGGCGCUUGCCGACACAUCAAUCUUUUUUCCAGGUUGACCUCGGAUCAGGUAGGGAUACCCGCUGAACUUAAGCAUAUUAAUAAGCGGAGGA
RNAcentral lists this unclassified non-coding RNA (345 nucleotides) under soil metagenome. Its description in RNAcentral is "partial contains 5.8S ribosomal RNA, internal transcribed spacer 2, and large subunit ribosomal RNA". The stretch from base 1 to 120 matches the Rfam family "5.8S ribosomal RNA", at positions 35 to 154 of the family's 154-position model. The record is from RNAcentral.